GCAUACAGAGCAACGUUCGAUCGUGGGGUCAGGUUGGCUUUAUAAUAAAUACCGGUAUCCAGAGAGCGUCUUUCCGAUUCUAGAGUUCGAGUGUCAAAGUUGUUUCAACUAGUGAGUCAAAAAGCUUUGCAAAAUGCCUUCUCCUUGUGAUUCCUGCAAAGAAACCUGCGGAGACGGGCAGUCCAACUGCGGCAAAGACUGCAAAUGCGGAGACGACUGCAAGUGCUCCGCUGACGGCAAAGACUGCGGUUGCGCCGACGGCGGACAGGCCUGCGAAAGCACCGACUAAACAACCCCCAAGUUCCUUUUUAUUUAUAUUUUUUGUAGCAUUUUUACCCAUGUAUCACCCUAUUAACGCUUAUUGUAUUUAUUGCUGGUUUUGUGGAUCAGGCUAAUAAUGCGCAUUAAAUUUAAUGUUUUUAUUACAGUUUUUAGGAAAUAAAAUACAUUUCACUCA
This is a long non-coding RNA of Tribolium castaneum (red flour beetle), 457 nucleotides long. RefSeq lists it as uncharacterized. The transcript is spliced from 3 exons. Lineage: Eukaryota; Metazoa; Arthropoda; Insecta; Coleoptera; Tenebrionidae. The record is from RefSeq and is a predicted model, not a curated record.